Molecule: ribosomal RNA, 512 nt
Filed under: uncultured bacterium
Lineage: Bacteria
Description: bacterial SSU rRNA
Rfam family: Bacterial small subunit ribosomal RNA
Source: RNAcentral
AGAGUUUGAUCCUGGCUCAGGAUGAACGCUAGCUACAGGCUUAACACAUGCAAGUCGAGGGGUAGCAGGGUAGCAAUACCGCUGACGACCGGCGCACGGGUGAGUAACACGUAUCCAACCUUCCCAUAACUCAGGGAUAGCCUUUCGAAAGAAAGAUUAAUACCUGAUAGUACUUUUUCAAGGCAUCUUGAAAAGUUAAAGAUUUAUGGUUAUGGAUGGGGAUGCGUUCCAUUAGAUAGUUGGUGAGGUAACGGCUCACCAAGUCUUCGAUGGAUAGGGGUUCUGAGAGGAAGGUCCCCCACAUUGGUACUGAGAGACGGACCAAACUCCUACGGGAGGCAGCAGUGAGGAAUAUUGGUCAAUGGGCGAGAGCCUGAACCAGCCAAGUAGCGUGAAGGAAUGAAGGUCCUAUGGAUUGUAAACUUCUUUUAUAGUAGAAUAAAGUGAGCCACGUGUGGUUUUUUGUAUGUAUACUAUGAAUAAGGAUCGGCUAACUCCGUGCCAGCCGCUGC